Molecule: long non-coding RNA, 5309 nt
Filed under: Linum usitatissimum (flax)
Lineage: Eukaryota; Viridiplantae; Streptophyta; Magnoliopsida; Malpighiales; Linaceae
Description: long non-coding RNA (LUSI_LNC007378)
Source: RNAcentral
CGGCGCUCAUGUCCAAGUAGCCAAGGAUUGGGAGCUUUUCACGGUUGACGACGUUGAUCUUACCAGCAUCGCUGCUGAAGAAAUCGGCGUGGAGUGGUUUCUCCAGGUUGUGCUUGAUCUUCAUGCUGCAGUAGGUCUCUUCGAUUCCGUUUUCUUCGUCGUUGAUGUUGUACCUGCCUCCUUUAGAUUGGCGCCACCUGUCCAUCUCCUGCAUCUGUUGUUCUUCCUCGGUAACGAAGCUCAUCUGUUCCUGGCAUCUGACGAUACUACCCCUGUUGUCGUUCUGCAUCCUCCUGACGGUCUCCGUUGGAACGUUGAACGCCUCGGCGAUCAGCUCCUCGUCGAAUCCUUGAAAGACGUUGGCUGAUGACAUAAGUGACUGCCCACCAGCUUCCCUUCCUUCCCCUAUCUGGUAAGUCCUCCUCCCCCAUGUCUGCCUGCUCUGCCUUUGCUGAUCGGAUUGCCCUCCUCCCAGCAAGAACCGCUGAAAACAGAGCAUCGUCAGCUCUCGGAAAAAAACUGAGCAUCGUCGUAUAGUACUUAGCGAUCCAAAUUAGUGGCAAGUGAGGAAGUUAAUAUAGAGAGUGAGGGAAGUGGACCCUGAGGUUUUGAUCGAGCUGGUUGUCGUCGUUGUUGAGGUCAACAAGGGUGACGUAGACGAGGUCCUGGUUACCGUCGUUGUAGCCCCAAGUAGCAACGCCGGCAGGGAUGGCGAUGACGUCACCCUCGCGAAUCCUGUGGAUCUUUUGGUGCUCGUCUCCUCCGCUUCCUCCCAUCAUCCUCCUCGAUCCCCUCUGCUGUUGUCCUUGUGCCUGCCCGCUGUGGUACAUCGCCGGGCAUCCCGGGAAGUUCAACCCCAACACUCCGCUCCCUGUACAAAAAAAUUUCAAAUUUCAAAAUAUCUUAGGGUGUGUGUGGAUAGGUGAAUUUGCAUUGUGGGUAUUUCAAAUUCAAAAAUGUACCUUGUUGGACAUAGACGAGGCGAGGGGCGGGGAAGAACUUGGGGACGGAGAGGGAUUGGGGCUGGAUGCAAUCACGGAACGGAGCGACGCCGGCGCAGAUGAACUGUUCCUCGUGGGGGUUCCACAUCUCGGUGACUCCACCUUCGGAUUGCAGGUGGAAGUUAGGCUGGACUGGGGAGAUGCGGUCGAGGUUGCAUUGCUGAGCCAGGUACUCCAGAGGAGUGAUCGUCGUCCGGCCUUGAUCGUGCUCGGCGGAAGUGGCGGCGGCGGCGAGACAAGAGAGGACAAGGAAUGCGGCGGCUAGUUUGGUUGCCAUCAUGAGUAAAUAAAGCUGAAGUUGGAGAUGAUGGAGUGAAGUCGGAGAAGGGCGGGAGGGUUUUUAUAUAGUAGCAUAGCCGGCGGUGCAUGGUAAUUGCAUGGCGUAAGAAGAAGAGUAAACAAAUGAUAAAGGUGACACAUUGCCAAUGGAGGGGGAAUGAGGUGGUGAUGAGUUCUUGAGUAGGUGGCGGUGUGGCGCCUGAGAAUCAUUUUCGGCCCACCAUUUGUCUGAAGAAAACUAACACCACCUCCUCUGCAUCUGCUCUGUUUGUCUGAGCUUCGCUUCGUCAUAUCUCACUUUGUUUCGUGUUUGUGUCAGUCUCGGCGGUGGAAAUUUGGGGUUCUCGUUCUUCAUCGUCAACGGUGAAAGAUGAUGUUUUUACUACAUCCAUCAUUAUAAGCUGAUAGAUGGAUCAAAUGGCAAGGGAUUGAAGUUUACGCUGAUGAGUUUUAUACCCCCUACAAAUUGAACAAUUACUAUAUGCAUACUAUACUAGUAUCAAUCAUUUUUUUUGUGAAAAAAUGGUACCGAAGCGCGCUGAAAUAUCAUUAAAAUUUUCAUUUUAUUUUAGAUAGCGAGAUACUUAUAAGACCAUAAUGUAUGGGACGGGCCUUGAUCCGGAGAAUAAAAAAACGCAAACUAUAAUCAAAACAAUUGUCUAAGUUAGUCAAAUAAUUCGUAUCAUUAUUAACUUCGCGGUAAAUAUGGGACAACUCCACUUCCCAUUGAUGACUAAAGUUACUUGACUUGAAUUGCAAAACAAGGAUGGCAUGUUUGUUACAUAGCCAUACAUUACUGUUUACUAAUAGUUUAAAGACUAAAUACCAUCUUUGUUUUUCAUCCACAACACCCAUUUCACAUAGCCAUACUGGUAUUAUUCUCUAGAGAAUGGUCGGUUUAUAAACCAACUCCGAGGUGGAUGAGGAUGAAGGUGAAGAAAAAGAAAGUAUCUGGAUGUUAAAGUUUAAUUGCCCAAAAAGAAAUACUCAUUAAGUGUAAGACCCACAAUCAUUGCUUAGCAUGGUGCUUUACAACAUUGCUCGUUGCAGCAGCCAUUACUUUAUUGACGACACAUAAUUUGAAAAGUUAAAAGAAAAACAGAGAAGAUAUGUGAAGAAGGUUUCUGAAGUACUUUCAGUAGUCCAUCAGUUUAAACUUCUUCUUCUGAUCACCCAGCUGCCAUCAAGUCUUGAGUACUGGUUUAUGGAAUUGGAUUUUUAUGAUCUAAUUAAGCAAGGGCAGUGCAGAGCCAUUGGCCAACAAAGAUAGUAGCGCAGUUGAUGUUAGGAUUGAUUGUCAAAAAAUCCUUCAGUUUCAGCCCAAACUGCCCUGCCACCGAUGUGCAUGUGUCUCCACCUUGUGUUCCAUAAACUGUGCUGCACUCCAGUUUAGGCGUAGCCUGAGCCAACCUUCGCCCGCCACUCAUCAUUGCUGUAUAUAAAUAUAUGAAUUAUAAGUUAGGGAUGAAAAGUCUUAAGAAAUUUAGAUUGCAAUUUGUUUUCGCAACAUAUUUCGUCGAAAUACUCAAAAUUUCAUUUAACUUUCCACCUAUCAAACUUAGCGAAUACAACUAUAUAUAUAAGUACAGAGCACUUACCAGUGGUACUGAGAACCAGAGUGGAGAUAAGAAGAAACAUAAUGAUGGUUUUGGUGCUGACGGUUGCCAUAGUAGCGGUGAUCUUGGUUUCUUUUUCUUCUCCUUUCUCUUUUGUUUCUCAAGGUUGUGUAGGAUUGGUUUGAAGAAUAUGAUAAGCUCUGUCCUUUUUAUAGUCGGAAAAUUGUAUGUUGUAAUUUGGAGGAGGAGAUGGAAACAAUGGAGCUGGCACGGGCGGCGGUAACAUUAAUUUCUCAGUCCGGCGAGGACGACAAGGGCAAACAUACACACAGGGGAUUAAUCUUCAUACGUACGGAGAUAACAAGGUGAUCAAAUGAGCAUGUUGUUCACAGGCUUAGUUAUUUUAUUGUGGAAUUUAUUCUUCUGAUGAAAGUUGCAUAGAAGUUUACGAAAAAAUACUUGUGAGUCUCAGACUUGAGUAACUAGCUCUAAUAAGAAGUAUCAAAGCUUCUUCAUUUGAUCCACACACAGUGGUGCGACGGUUUUCGAAGGCCCUGUGUCAAAAUUUAAAUUGUGGCCUAAAAUAAAAGUUUUGUGGAUUUUUAUUAUUUGUAUUAUUAAUUAUAAUAAAAAUUGAGAUUUUUAUUAUAAUCCACCACCGGCAACACUAUCAUCAGCUCUUCAGAGUUCUUCUGCAGUCUAGGCUUCACGUAGCCACUUAGCUGCUAUGUGUUCCUAUUCUGAGGUCACCUUGACCCUCAGAGAAGCGUCCCACUUAUGUGUGUUCUUGUCCGCCGGGAUGGUGAAUAGCAAGUCACAAUAUUUGUCGGUAUGACGCUGGAUCCACAUAUGUAAUAGAACGUUUGCAAACGUUCAUACUUAUACUUGCAGGUUGCGCUAACAUCAUCGUGUAGCAGUACCUUCUUUUCCCGGCGUAGAGGCUUACGGGUAUCUAACUCCACACGAAUUUGCAUAUAUGCUCCGGCUUUGAAUUGCUUAUGGUUCAACUGGUCAUAUGAAUGAUAGUGGCCAUCAAAAUUUCCUAGGAAACGACCAACCUCCUCCAAGAAGUAUCCCCAUGGGAGUCGAUGGAUUUGGAUCCAAAAGGGGACACGAUGCAGUUCUACCAGCUUUGGAUCCUCACCCUCUUUGAGUUUCUGCAAGAUCAGCAAGGAUCUGUUGUAGUGCCAAGGACCUUUAGCCAUAACCCGUUUCACAUCCAGCUCGUGACGGAAACAAAACAAGUAACGACCGCCAUGCAGAUCUUCGACCGUCAUUGUGCGCCCUGGCUUCCAACUUAUGGCCAUGGUUCGUUUCAUGGCAACGAAAUUUAUUUGCUUGUCACCAAGAAACGAGCCAACGAGACAUAGUGGGUAUGCAUGUGAAGGAGGAACGGGAACUAGUUCCGUUACCGAUGAUUCCUCGUCUUCGCUUUCUCCGAGAUUCAAGUUCUGUACCAGAAGCGUGACGAGCGCGCUUGAAUCAUCCUCCAAAAGCUCCUGCCUUGCGAUCGGUAGUGUUGUUGGACCUUUGCUUGGCUUCAUCGGAGGAGCAACUCCGCGAGCCACCGUCCACAGAGACGAUUUCUUUAGCUCGAGGCUUGUGGUAGUCUCCAACGUUUUGGAAGUUCCGGUUGUAGCUCUAGCUGCGUCGGCUUCGGUGGCUUUGGUGGGUGGUGGGGUCUGAAUCUGGAGCUAGAGAAUUGGAAAACAGCUUUCGGAUUCGAUCUAGAAAGUCCGCAUAAAUCUCAACCGUCCAAAAAUCAUAUAUUAGAUCUAACGGCUGAUAUAUAAGGGCAAACUUGACAUUACAUAACCAUACAAAUGUGUAUACUAAUUAUUGAACUAAUACAAUAUUUAGUAUUUACACUUUGUACAAAAAUUCAUAUAAAUGUAUAUACACUUAUGUCCAUGUUUAUACAAACCUAUACACAUUUGCAUGAUCCGUGCAAAGCUGUACAGUCGGUGGUUGUAAAAUAUUUAUAAAAAAAAUCUUUUUCCAAAUACGUAGAAUCGACGUGCCGGUGAUCAUGUGGGUGCAAAAAUUGUUAUUAACAGAAGUAUGAAUCAGCGUGAAAUUGAUUGGAAAUUUUCUGAUCAUCGGAGACGCUAGUCCAGUAUUCGAAGAUAGUUGGGUUCUUGUCUAACGAAAUCUUGAUAUGUCGGAUGAUAGUUGGGUUGUUGUCCAAUAAAAAAUCUAAAACAACAACGACCAUAUUGCCUCCGAUCAACAUUAACCCUUAAAUCAUGUGAAAAUUCAAAGGUCUAGAUUGUUUAUGGAUCGGAGCUAAUCUAGAUGCAAUAUCCCUGCUCCCGACUCCCAUUCUCUAGUUACAAAUUACAAUACAAAUUUAGUGACAACUUGUCAACAUGACUGCGUAAGAAGAAAGCAGUGUAGGAAUCCUCUGCCUCCUCUGCCUACUCUUGAAGAAAUGUACACUCCGAGCGUAAGAAGUAAGCUAGCUCAACUCAGC